Astatotilapia calliptera (eastern happy) is the source of this 2831-nucleotide long non-coding RNA. Lineage: Eukaryota; Metazoa; Chordata; Actinopteri; Cichliformes; Cichlidae. The record is from Ensembl.
AAAUAGUUCUACAAAUCUGAGCUGUUGGUGUGUCCUUGGAUUGUGUGGUAAUAAUAUUAGAGCCUGCAAGCUUUCUUACUGAAUCUCUACUAUGAGUCAUGUUACCUGAGAUUAAUUCUAUGUUUACCUGUCAGCCUGGACGAAUGUGCUGUGUGAAGGAAAUUAAAUUAAAUCAGAUCUGAACUGCGUACAUUUAAGGAACCUGUUCAUAUUUAAUAUGAACCAGUGAUUUUUUUGAUUGCUGAUUCCAAGAGAGUCUUUGUGGAAAUCCUGUUUGGCUUUUUGUUAUUUUAAUUCUCUUCUCUGUUUUCCAGAACAGUUCUCCACAGUCACUGUCCACAUGGGUCAGUGGCGCCAAGAAGCACUCUGCUAAUGUGGGACUCUGACCAGCAACAUCCAGCAGGACCCAGACAGCGUUUUCUAUCUCCCAGCUGGAGGUUUUGUUUGUCUGUAACUGGAGAGUCAGAUUUUUGUUGAGCUUCACACUUGCAGAGGUAAGUCAGUUUGCAGAGAUCCCUCCCACCCUGGCUUUCUUAUCUGAAACAGUAAUAUUUCAGUGACUGCUGCUUAUACCACAGGUUAAUACACGCUACCGAUCCCUGAUAGGAGAAUCAUCAAUUUUGGCAACAAAGAAGCCUGGUGGAUGUUUGUUUACAGUCUGAUGGUGGGACAUCAUGCUCUGCAUCUUCAAAGUUUGCCUCCUCAUUAUUAUUCAUACCCAGUAAUGUGAAGUAUGCUCAUAUCUACUAUAACUGAACCAACCUGGUGCUCUUCAUUUAUGGAGGCUGUUGAGUCUGAAUGUUGGAUGUUGUGUAUCUCGUGUUCUCUGGGCUUUGUUGUCCUCAGUCUUUUCGCAGGAUCAGAAAACAAAACCAGGAGGCGCGUAAAUGUUGCUUCUCCAUGAUGUUUCUUCAAAUGUUUCUUCUGGAUGAUGAUAAGACUGUGACACGGGAUGCACCUUUGGUCUUGUGAUGAAGCAAAGCUCAGGAAGAAGUGGGAUUAAAUGGUACCCACAUGUGUGCUGCUGAGAAGGAUGUACAGGGGCACCUGCAGCCAAAUCCAAGCCUCAGGUUAGUUGUAGUUGCAGAAUGCUAUAGACUGAGACAGCUGAGGCAUCAAAUGUUUGAUUAAACGGAUGAAAAAGAGAAGUUUCUUCCCUAUAAUUAUCACUUCUUAAAAUCUGUAGCAACUUCAAGUCUGUCAGCGUGCGGAGCAUGCUCAGAAUGUGACAAUAUAUUUUUGUUCAAUAUUUAAUUUCUUUCAGUUGCAAUUGGUAAAUGAAAAAAAAUAUUUUCUUAUAAUUUAGCAAACUAAUUUAUCAAAAAAAAAAUAUAUACAUAUAUCUGUAUUAGUUUUAAUAAAUUAAUUUGACACCUGUAUGGAAAAUACCAUAUUGUAUUCAUACAGAAUCAGUUUGGUAUCAUUGUUGGUCUGCUCACUGAUUGUUGAAGCUAAGAGCUGCUUUGAUCUGUUUAGAUCUAAAGUAUCCAAAGUUGAGCUCUGAUGUUUCUUCACCCCUGUGUGUGUGAUAUGUGAUUCCUACAUGCUGGCAGAGCAGAGCAGCAGUUUUUGCUGACAGAUGGUGACGGUGUGGAGAGACGGUGGUGUUUCCUCAGAAGAACCAGCAGAGUCACUUGCUGACUGAUGCUCGUCUGCACUGCACAGAGGAAAUCAGCUGACCGAGGAGUGUUUCUGAGUGAGGGGGAGAGGAGUCAUCAUCCAGGUAAAGUGACGUGGAUCAGUGGACACACUUGUCUCCCCUUUAAAGGAGACGAUCCAAGUCAUCCUUAAAUAUGGGCAGCAUAUCAGUCUUGGACUGUCUAACCUGCCGGAGCAGCACUGAAUGACCACCACACACGAGCAUGUUCCUGCAACAUUCAGCAUCUGAUCCUUCAUCUGUGUGCUUCUGCUUUUGUGUCACAUGUCAAACAGCUGGAGAGGAAACUACACCAGUGUACUGGGAUGUUUCACCAACACACCAGAUGCUGUUCCUUCAUGGUGACAUCACCAGAGACAGCCCCGCCCACCUCAGGACCUCGCCAUUGAUCAUGAUGAUUAUAAUGAUGACAGCGAGCGGAACUAAGACUGUAAAAAUCCACGACCAGAAUGUUUCUUUCUAAUUAUGAAUGAAUACUGAGAGCCUCUUUCUGUGUUUUGUCUGUUUUGGGGUUGUUUUUUUUACCUCAUUUGUUACUAACAAAGUUCACAAACUCACACAGUUUACAUUCUGCAUGUUUCCAUCUUUACCAGCCACACUCCAACUGCAUUUAAGAAAAUAAUCCUUAGAAAUCGUCGUUUUUCUCUUUUGUAAUUGAUGAUAAUUCAGUGAAUAUACUGCGCUGCUUCCUUUUAUUGCGUCGCACAUUGCUUUAAGUUUUUCAGUGUCCAGUUAUUUUUUACUGCUGUUUGAAUUCUCUGUAUGUUUGACCCUGUAGACCAUAGGUGUCAAACUCUGGCCCGUGGGCCAAAUUUGGCCCGCAGCCUAAUUACAUUUGGCCCGCGAAGCCAUACCAAAUUACUAUUAGAGCAGGCCUACUGGUAUUAUACAGCUAAUAUAUAUAUUGUUUAGUAUUAGGCUUUGCUUGUUCCAUAUUCAGUUUUUCAGCAAAACUUGUUUGAGUCCAUAACAAAAGAUUCAUUCUUAUAUCUGGAGGAAGAUUUUUUUUCAAUAAAUAUUAACGUUAGCCCGCGACUUUGUUCCAGUUUUGAAUUUUGGCCCACUGUGUAUUUGAGUUUGACACCCCUGCUGUAGACUGUUUGAUGGACUGCUUGUCUUCCUGUUUGUAACCGCCGCCUGUUUUUUAAUAAAGAUUUGGAUUUCUGACUUCAAC